GGCCUCCCAUCGUUGCCUUGUGCAGGUAAUAACAGGUCACAGUUUAACAAUUGCAAUUAAAUACAGAAAAGUAGCAUGUGGAUGUAGCAAUUGUGUAACCCCAAGUAAGACACUAUACUAGCAAUCUAAGCAAGACUUCUAAUAACCAACUAGGGCAAUAAGCAAGCGUGUGGCAUGGUAAUAGGACAAUGAACAAGACAACAAGCAUUUGAGUAGAGCUGACUAAAGCUAUGCAAUUCUAGAGGCACUGUGACAAUAACUGAGAACGUAACUUAGUGCAAAAAUGAGAGAGAGGCAUUGGGUAAAAUCAACAUGUUCAAGGAAUGGCUGCUUGCCUAGAGUACUCAAUUGCCCGGAAUUGAACAAAAAUCCUGAAAGAAGAACAGAAGUGUAGUCGUCGUCAUAGGAACCGAAGACUAGCGAGAAAGAAGCAAAUACACCACAUAGAAGAAAAGUAUAAGCAUACAAGAUACAAAUGGUAAUUAAUAUGCGCAAUCAAAGAAUGAUGCGUGGCAUAUAAGGAUGAUGCAUGACAUCUUAAGAAUUCCAAAAGUAAAUCCGAUAUAUAAUUUACCAAGUUAAUUGGAGUCUGAAAACACACUACACAUAGCACCUAUACAACUCCAUAUGCAAGGAAUAGAGUUGAUGGUAGAGGAAUUAGGCGUCGUAGAGGAGGUAGUCGUACACGUAGUCGACGUAGUCGUACGGUUGAUGUAGGCGUACAAUCGUCGUGGUCGCAGUCGUUCAUGGCUCCGGCUCGGAGGUUCUUUGGUCUCUCGGUGCGUAAGGCAAGGACUUGGGCAGCGACACAUCGAAGCACUCGGAGGCGCUGACCAGCAGGGCCCACACAUCAGGAAAUAGCAAUUUUCAGAAAAAAAAAACAGAAAAAAACCAAAGGGAGGAAAUGGGCACGGGCCUGCUGGAUUGGGCUUGGAGCUGGCUGUAGAUGGGCCGAAGGGGGGCUCGGCCUGGGCUUGCGGGCUGGAGUCAGAGAAGGUUGGAGCGAGGGCGGACGGAGGAGCAGAGGUGACCGGUGGCGAGGUGGUAGCGGGGGACGCGGCCAGGAGCAAGGGGAGCAGGCGAGGCGGCGCUCGGUGGAAGGGAGGCGGAGCGGGAGGAGACGCGGCCGGCGGUGGCUGGUGGGCCGGCGAGGUGGCGUCGGGCGGCGUAGCUUGGGCGGCGCGGCUAGGGCAGCAGGCGGCGCGCAGCAGGGAGAGAGGUGAGGGGGCGAGCUCAGCGGCGGGGGGGGGGGGGGGCAGGGCAAGGGGGGCGCCAGGAGGGGGCGAGCUCAGGAGGAAGGGAGGCGCCGGCCAUGGGAGAAGGCAGCGGAGACAAAGGAAGAAGAAAGGGGAUCGGGGGAAGGAAGGAGACGUCGGCGGCUUGGAGGAAAAGAGGAGAGGAAGAAAAGAAAGAAAAGAGAAAAGGAGUAGCUUUAUAAGGUAGGAAACUAGGGUUUGGUUUAUUGGGCCUUUGGGCCAAUAAAAGCGGCAAACAAAAAUACAGCUUUUUCAAAUUUAGUUUUUUGCAAAGAAAAAAAAAGAGACUAAAGGAGGUCUAAUUAAAGCCGGAU
RNAcentral lists this long non-coding RNA (1570 nucleotides) under Brachypodium distachyon (stiff brome). Its description in RNAcentral is "long non-coding RNA (BDIS_LNC002251)". Lineage: Eukaryota; Viridiplantae; Streptophyta; Magnoliopsida; Poales; Poaceae. The record is from RNAcentral.